GUAGCAAUACCGGGUGGCGACCGGCGCACGGGUGAGUAACGCGUAUGCAACUUACCUAUCAGAGGGGGAUAACCCGGCGAAAGUCGGACUAAUACCGCAUGAAGCAGGGGCCCCGCAUGGGGAUAUUUGCUAAAGAUUCAUCGCUGAUAGAUAGGCAUGCGUUCCAUUAGGCAGUUGGCGGGGUAACGGCCCACCAAACCGACGAUGGAUAGGGGUUCUGAGAGGAAGGUCCCCCACAUUGGUACUGAGACACGGACCAAACUCCUACGGGAGGCAGCAGUGAGGAAUAUUGGUCAAUGGCCGAGAGGCUGAACCAGCCAAGUCGCGUGAGGGAUGAAGGUUCUAUGGAUCGUAAACCUCUUUUAUAAGGGAAUAAAGUGCGGGACGUGUCCCGUUUUGUAUGUACCUUAUGAAUAAGGAUCGGCUAACUCCGUGCCAGCAGCCGCGGUAAUACGGAGGAUCCGAGCGUUAUCCGGAUUUAUUGGGUUUAAAGGGUGCGUAGGCGGCCUUUUAAGUCAGCGGUGAAAGUCUGUGGCUCAACCAUAGAAUUGCCGUUGAAACUGGGAGGCUUGAGUAUGUUUGAGGCAGGCGGAAUGCGUGGUGUAGCGGCGAAAUGCAUAGAUAUCACGCAGAACCCCGAUUGCGAAGGCAGCCUGCCAAGCCAUUACUGACGCUGAUGCACGAAAGCGUGGGGAUCAAACAGG
Molecule: ribosomal RNA, 704 nt
Filed under: uncultured Bacteroidales bacterium
Lineage: Bacteria; Pseudomonadati; Bacteroidota; Bacteroidia; Bacteroidales
Description: bacterial SSU rRNA
Rfam family: Bacterial small subunit ribosomal RNA
Source: RNAcentral